CUUGACCUUUGACCUUGACCUCAUUUUUAUUAUUUUCGACCAAGGACCCCAAAUCUAAAGACCCUAUGUCUUUAUCACUUAUGGUUUACCAUUUAGAAAUGCAUAUCACUUAAUUUAAGGGAAAAGGGGGAAUAACUCUCAUAUGGAGUCUCCGUAAAGCUUCGGUCCAAUGAAUAUCCUAAUCCUGAAGAUGUAACGAGCAAUUUGGUAAAAUAAAUUUGUCGUAAUCUUUAACGGUUGCGAAGGAGUAGUGGCCACAAGAAAAACAGUGUUUGGGGAGAUAACUCUUACAACGUAAAGUAUUUGGUUACGCAGUUGUAAAUUUUUAAAGCGUAUAAACUAUACGACAUCAUAUUCCAAAUAUCUAAGCGACAUCUUUUGAAAUAUCAAUACUACGCAAGAAAAAAAUUUAGGCGGAAGAAAAAAAAAAAAAAAAAUAAUAAUAAUAAUAAUAAUAAUAAUAAUCAGAACAAAUUCAAUAGGUCUUUCCACGGAAAGGUGGAAAGACCUAAUAAUCAGAACAAACCCUAUAGGUCUUUCACCUGAAAGGUUGAAAGACCUAAUAAUAAUAAUAAUAAUAAUAAUCAGAACAAAUACAAUAGGUCUUUCAACAGAAAGGUUGAAAGACCUAAUAAUCAGAAGAAAUCCAAUAGGUCUUUCCACGGAAAGGUGGAAAGACCUAAUAAUCAGAAGAAAUCCAAUAGGUCUUUCCACGGAAAGGUGGAAAGACCUAAUAAUAAUCAGAAGAAAUCCAAUAGGUCUUUCCACGGAAAGGUGGAAAGACCUAAUAAUACUCAUUUCACUUGUCAGAAUGUAUGACAAUAUUUAUCAAAAGUACCAGGAUUAUAAUAUGUCUAUAUGAGACAAUUCAUUUUUGAAAUUAUCAAUUUCUCCCACUUGAGUAGCAAUAUACCAACUUCACCUGCAUAUGGUUAAUACAUUUCCCAACUUAUUUGGUGUUCCAGAGCUUGCAGCUCCUACUCAGACUUUGUCAAAUAUCACCAGUGUCUGAG
Molecule: long non-coding RNA, 1013 nt
Filed under: Mytilus galloprovincialis (Mediterranean mussel)
Lineage: Eukaryota; Metazoa; Mollusca; Bivalvia; Mytilida; Mytilidae
Source: RNAcentral